AGUGAACGCUGGCGGUAGGCCUAACACAUGCAAGUCGAACGGCAGCACAGUAAGAUCUUGCUCUUACGGGUUGCGAGUGGCGGACGGGUGAGGAAUACAUCGGAAUCUACUUUUUCGUGGGGGAUAACGUAGGGAAACUUACGCUAAUACCGCAUACGACCUACGGGUGAAAGCAGGGGAUCUUCGGACCUUUCGCGAUUGAAUGAGCCUAUGUCGGAUUAGCUAGUUGGCUGGGUAAAGGCCCACCAAGGCGACGAUCCGUAGCUGGUCUGAGAGGAUGAUCAGCCACACUGGAACUGAGACACGGUCCAGACUACUACGGGAGGCAGAAGUGGGGAAUAUUGGACAAUGGGCGCAAGCCUGAUCCAGCAAUACCGCGUGGGUGAAGAAGGCAUUCGGGUUGUAAAGCCCUUUUGUUGGGAAAGAAAAGCAGCAGGUUAAUACCACGCUGUUAUGACGGUACCCAAAGAAUAAGCACCGGCUAACUUCGUG
RNAcentral lists this ribosomal RNA (492 nucleotides) under uncultured bacterium. Its description in RNAcentral is "partial 16S ribosomal RNA". It matches the Rfam family "Bacterial small subunit ribosomal RNA", at positions 29 to 507 of the family's 1533-position model. The record is from RNAcentral.